This 253-nucleotide ribosomal RNA is filed under the name uncultured bacterium. RNAcentral's name for it is "partial 16S ribosomal RNA". It matches the Rfam family "Bacterial small subunit ribosomal RNA", at positions 524 to 776 of the family's 1533-position model. The record is from RNAcentral.
UACGUAGGAGGCGAGCGUUAUCCGGAUUUAUUGGGCGUAAAGAGCGCGUAGGCGGCCUAUUAAGUCGGUUGUGAAAUCUCUCGGCUUAACUGAGAGGGGUCAACCGAAACUGGUGGGCUUGAGGACAGAAGAGGGAGGUGGAAUUCCCGGUGUAGUGGUGAAAUGCGUAGAUAUCGGGAGGAACACCAGUGGCGAAGGCGGCCUCCUGGGCUGUUCCUGACGCUGAGGCGCGAAAGCGUGGGUAGCAAACAGG